UAUGUCGUUGUAGGUUGGCCAAUCAUC
RNAcentral lists this non-coding RNA (27 nucleotides) under Bombyx mori (domestic silkworm). The record is from RNAcentral. Lineage: Eukaryota; Metazoa; Arthropoda; Insecta; Lepidoptera; Bombycidae.